This 446-nucleotide ribosomal RNA is filed under the name uncultured bacterium. RNAcentral describes it as "bacterial SSU rRNA". It matches the Rfam family "Bacterial small subunit ribosomal RNA", at positions 329 to 792 of the family's 1533-position model. The record is from RNAcentral.
CGCCAGACUCCUACGGGAGGCAGCAGUGGGGAAUAUUGCACAAUGGGGGAAACCCUGAUGCAGCGACGCCGCGUGAGCGAUGAAGUAUUUCGGUAUGUAAAGCUCUAUCAGCAGGGAAGAAAAUGACGGUACCUGACUAAGAAGCCCCGGCUAACUACGUGCCAGCAGCCGCGGUAAUACGUAGGGGGCAAGCGUUAUCCGGAUUUACUGGGUGUAAAGGGAGCGUAGACGGCAUGGCAAGUCAGAUGUGAAAGCCCGGGGCUCAACCCCGGGACUGCAUUUGAAACUGUCAGGCUGGAGUGCAGGAGAGGUAAGUGGAAUUCCUAGUGUAGCGGUGAAAUGCGUAGAUAUUAGGAGGAACACCAGUGGCGAAGGCGGCUUACUGGACUGUAACUGACGUUGAGGCUCGAAAGCGUGGGGAGCAAACAGGAUUAGAUACCCGGGUA